GGUCCCGGCGGGCGGUAGGGUCCGACCGCCGCGCCGGGCGCGGACCGUGCCGGAUGCAGAGGAAAUAGAAGAGUAGGCUGUGAAUAGACCAUGAAAAGAAGAAGGAGAACUCGUUCUCGAGAAGGUACAAGCUGACUCCCAGGGCUCGCCACGGCACCGCAGUGCGACAGGAGACUAACCAUGUCGCGUUCUUGGGGUGGAUUCUCCUGAGAACCUCACAAGUGCUGCGGCGGCUUCCCCUGUUUCCAGUUCCCGUUUGAAGACAGGGCGGAGUCCUCCUAACUUCUGUGACCGCAUCCUUGCCUGCUGGACCUCUCCCAACACUGGAUAUUGAUCGUGUGUAAGAUCACUGCCCUACAAGAGUUCACAAUGUUUAAGAAUUCUUGCCAGAGCUUCUCCUAAAAAAAAUUUCACAGAGAAAUCGUGAAAUUACACCACGUGAUAUAGCAUUUCUUUGUCAAAAAACAUCUCAUUGUAGCUUCUGUUUAAGGAAAGCAUCCGCAACCACCCAGCUGUGCCGAGUUUGGUCCCAGUGAACCGUGUCUUUGUAACGUGCUUCUGGGCAAUUUCCUUUCGAGCCGCUCUCCAGAUCAUACACCUGUGAGCCUGAUUUGCACCUUGUUUGUCGGAGAAGAUUUGAGUUUCCCUCUUACUCUGGGACACGUUUCUGCCUGCGAGCGCCUUGUUCGCAUCUGUGACGGGUCUGGCUGCAACCGGGCAACGAGCGACAGCAACACGACGUGUGGGGGUUGCCCCCUUUGUUGUCCGAGAACAGCGGUGUGAUCCGCCGUCUGGGCGAGAACAGACCAGAAGCGCCCAAUCAGGGCAGCCUGGGCCAGCCGGACCCUGCCCCGCGUGCAGGCUCUGGGCAGACGGCGCCUGUCUUCCCAACACUCAGUUCUCUACGCGUGUGUCCCCCUCCGCGUCCUCGGGAACUCACUGCUCCCCAUCCUGGCUGGCUUGUAGAGAGACUAGAAGCAGGAUGUUAGGAAGCUCAAGGCCUGGCCUCGUGAG
Molecule: long non-coding RNA, 1014 nt
Organism: Bos taurus (domestic cattle)
Lineage: Eukaryota; Metazoa; Chordata; Mammalia; Artiodactyla; Bovidae
Source: Ensembl